CCUACGGGAGGCAGCAGUGGGGAAUAUUGCACAAUGGGGGAAACCCUGAUGCAGCGACGCCGCGUGAGUGAAGAAGUAAUUCGUUAUGUAAAGCUCUAUCAGCAGGGAAGAAAAUGACGGUACCUGAGUAAGAAGCCCCGGCUAACUACGUGCCAGCAGCCGCGGUAAUACGUAGGGGGCAAGCGGUUACCGGAUUUACUGGGUGUAAAGGGAGCGUAGACGGCAGUGCAAGUCUGGAGUGAAAGGCGGGGGGUCAACCCCCGGACUGCUCUGGAAACUGUACGGCUGGAGUGCAGGAGAGGUAAGUGGAAUGCCUGGUGUAGCGGUGAAAUGCGUAGAUAUUAGGAGGAACACCGGUGGCGAAGGCGGCUUACUGGACUGUAACUGACGUUGAGGCUCGAAAGCGUGGGGAGCGAACAGGAUUAGAUACCCCAGUAGUC
Molecule: ribosomal RNA, 440 nt
Filed under: uncultured bacterium
Lineage: Bacteria
Description: partial 16S ribosomal RNA
Rfam family: Bacterial small subunit ribosomal RNA
Source: RNAcentral